CUGCAGAAUUCGCCCUUAGAGUUUGAUCCUGGCUCAGAAUGAACGCUGGCGGCGUGCUUUACACAUGCAAGUCGAGCGAGGCGUACGGAGCUUGCUCCGUACAGUCGAGCGGCGAACGGGUGAGUAACGCGUGGAUAUCUACCCUGAGGUGGGGGAUAACCCGGGGAAACUCGGGCUAAUACCGCAUGAUACCGCGAGGUCAAAGAGGGCUUCGGCUCUCGCCAUGGGAUGAGUCUGCGUCCGAUUAGCUAGUUGGUGAGGUAAAGGCUCACAAAGGCGACGAUCGGUAGCCGGCCUGAGAGGGUGAUCGGCCACACUGGAACUGAGACACGGUCCAGACUCCUACGGGAGGCAGCAGUGGGGAAUUUUGCGCAAUGGGGGAAACCCUGACGCAGCAACGCCGCGUGGAGGAUGAAGGUUUUCGGAUUGUAAACUCCUGUCAGUGGGGAAAAAGGCUUGCGACCUAAUACGUCGAGGAGCUUGAUUGUACCCGCAGAGGAAGCCCCGGCUAACUCUGUGCCAGCAGCCGCGGUAAUACAGAGGGGGCGAGCGUUAUUCGGAAUUAUUGGGCGUAAAGGGCGCGCAGGCGGCCAAUCAAGUGGAAGGUGAAAUCCCUCGGCUCAACCGAGGAACUGCCUUCCAAACUGACUGGCUUGAGUCC
This 661-nucleotide ribosomal RNA is filed under the name uncultured bacterium. RNAcentral's name for it is "partial 16S ribosomal RNA". It matches the Rfam family "Bacterial small subunit ribosomal RNA", at positions 1 to 649 of the family's 1533-position model. The record is from RNAcentral.